This 446-nucleotide ribosomal RNA is filed under the name uncultured Hyphomicrobiales bacterium. Its description in RNAcentral is "bacterial SSU rRNA". It matches the Rfam family "Bacterial small subunit ribosomal RNA", at positions 29 to 523 of the family's 1533-position model. Lineage: Bacteria; Pseudomonadati; Pseudomonadota; Alphaproteobacteria; Hyphomicrobiales. The record is from RNAcentral.
AACGAACGCUGGCGGCAGGCUUAACACAUGCAAGUCGAGCGCCCCGCAAGGGGAGCGGCAGACGGGUGAGUAACGCGUGGGAAUCUACCUUUUGCUACGGAAUAACGCAGGGAAACUUGUGCUAAUACCGUAUGUGACCUUCGGGAGAAAGAUUUAUCGGCAAGAGAUGAGCCCGCGUUGGAUUAGCUAGUUGGUGGGGUAAAGGCCUACCGAGGCGACGAUCCAUAGCUGGUCUGAGAGGAUGAUCAGCCACAUUGGGACUGAGACGCGGCCCAAACUCCUACGGGAGGCAGCAGUGGGGAAUAUUGGACAAUGGGCGCAAGCCUGAUCCAGCCAUGCCGCGUGAGUGAUGAAGGCCCUAGGGUUGUAAGCUCUUUCACCGGAGAAGAUAAUGACGGUAUCCGGAGAAGAAGCCCCGGCUAACUUCGUGCCAGCAGCCGCGGUAA